GCUUUGAAUUUGUGUCCCACCCCUGUGAUUGGAGCUCAAUAUCAGAGCGUCUGUCAGUCCGACUGUAAAUCCAACAUCACUGUCCUUCAGUUUCACUCAUUCCCAGUAAAGAUGAGGACACACGCUCUGAUCAUCUGCUCUCUGCUGCUGCUGCUCAACGAGUGUAGAGGACAGAUCACCGUCACUCAGAGUCCCUCAAUGACAGCAGCUCAACCAGGACAAACUGUGAACAUCAACUGUAAAACCAGCAGAGAUGUGUACAAAUAUAGUGGGAAUGAUUGUUUAGCCUGGUACUUACAGAAACCUGGAGAAGCUCCUAAACUCCUGAUUUAUUAUACAAGCACCCUCCAGUCAGGAACUCCAUCUAGAUUCAGUGGCAGUGGAUCUAACAGUGAUUUCACUCUGACCAUCAGUGGAGUCCAGACUGAAGAUGCUGGACAUUAUUACUGUCAGAGUUUCCACUAUCCAAACAGUCAAUAUGUGUUCACACAGUGAUAAAGAGUCGUACAAAAACCUCCGUCAGUCAGAGUCACAGUGACUGAACUGAUACUGCAGCUGCUCACACACUUUCACACACUUUCACACACACUCAACAGCAGAA
Megalobrama amblycephala (Wuchang bream) is the source of this 601-nucleotide non-coding RNA. The record is from the annotation of a RefSeq genome assembly. Lineage: Eukaryota; Metazoa; Chordata; Actinopteri; Cypriniformes; Xenocyprididae.